RNAcentral lists this ribosomal RNA (422 nucleotides) under uncultured archaeon. Its description in RNAcentral is "bacterial SSU rRNA". It matches the Rfam family "Archaeal small subunit ribosomal RNA", at positions 458 to 880 of the family's 1478-position model. The record is from RNAcentral.
UCAGCCGCCGCGGUAAAACCAGCACCUCGAGUGGUCAGGAGGUUUAUUGGGCCUAAAGCAUCCGUAGCCGGUUGCAUAAGUUUUCGGUUAAAUCUAUGCGCUUAACGUAUAGGCCGCCGAAAAUACUGUGCAGCUAGGGAGUGGGAGAGGUACACGGUACUCGAUAGGAAGGGGUAAAAUCCUUUGAUCUAUUGAUGACCACCUGUGGCGAAGGCGGUGUACCAGAACACGUUCGACGGUGAGGGAUGAAAGCUGGGGGAGCAAACCGGAUUAGAUACCCGGGUAGUCCCAGCUGUAAACGAUGCAGACUCGGUGAUGCAUUGGCUUGUGGCCAAUGCAGUGCCGCAGGGAAGCCGUUAAGUCUGCCGCCUGGGAAGUACGUACGCGAGUAUGAAACUUAAAGGAAUUGGCGGGGGAGCACA